CACGUAGGCGGAUCGUUAAGUGAGGGUGAAAUCCCGGGCUCAACCCCGGAACUGCCUUUCAUACUGGCGAUCUGGAGUUCGAGAGAGGUGAGUGGAAUUCCGAGUGUAGAGGUGAAAUUCGUAGAUAUUCGGAGGAACACCAGUGGCGAAGGCGGCUCACUGGCUCGAUACUGACGCUGAGGUGCGAAAGCGUGGGGAGCAAACA
Molecule: ribosomal RNA, 205 nt
Filed under: uncultured bacterium
Lineage: Bacteria
Description: partial 16S ribosomal RNA
Rfam family: Bacterial small subunit ribosomal RNA
Source: RNAcentral